Epinephelus moara (kelp grouper) is the source of this 724-nucleotide long non-coding RNA. RefSeq lists it as uncharacterized. Lineage: Eukaryota; Metazoa; Chordata; Actinopteri; Perciformes; Serranidae. The record is from RefSeq and is a predicted model, not a curated record. The transcript is spliced from 3 exons.
GGGCAGUAAAGGAGGGGAUUUGAUGAAGGAUGUCCAUCUAGGGAUGGAGAAAAAGGUAUAAAAAGUCAAGGUUUUAGAAAAGUGCAGAUCUCCUGAAAGAUUGCUGGGGCUCUGAACGAGAACAGGAGCUGGACAAGGUUUUUCAAUUUCAGAACGAGACAUCAACUGAGCAGAACAACUUUGCUGAUGCCAUGGACUGAGACGAACCAGAGCCUGAUGAGAUGGGACGACCAAGGGUGCUUGAGCUCAUCCUGUUCGCACUCAGUCCCCUAAGCGAGUUGCUGUUAUCGAUUUCUGAGAUUUUUUGACUCUUUGUAUUUUUACUUCCAGCCUUAUUCUUCAGAGUCCAAGGAGGUCGUGAGUAAAAGAGCAGUAGCGUAGAGAUAGGUCGUCCAAAUCUGAGGCCAUGGUUCGCAUGGUGCCGGAAAGAGGUGGACUGCCCCCUCGGUACUUCCUCAAGCGAGGGAUUUCAAGUAUCUCUGGGACUUGUUCAUCAGUGAGGAUAGAAUGGAGCGUGAGAUGGAAAGAUGAUUUGGUGUGGCUUCUGCAGUGAUGCGGGCGCUGUGCUGGUCCAUCAUGGUGAAGAGGUAGUUCUGAUUAGUCCAUGCACCCAUGGGAGCAGGGUGCUAUCUGAAUUCCCCAACGCUGAUCGACAGUGCUACCUCUGGUUUCCUGGAUUUGGUCGGAGCAGUCUUCCUCUGUGGUCCGGCGCCAUCAGAGCCUG